Chinchilla lanigera (long-tailed chinchilla) is the source of this 905-nucleotide long non-coding RNA. RefSeq lists it as uncharacterized. The record is from RefSeq and is a predicted model, not a curated record. Lineage: Eukaryota; Metazoa; Chordata; Mammalia; Rodentia; Chinchillidae. The transcript is spliced from 4 exons.
UGUCCUCGUCCACCAGAGGACUUGGGGACUGUUUCCACUCUGCCAGGCGCUGUUGUGAGCCCUCGAAGGGGACACCUUCCUGGACAUCAAGAAAGCACCUAGGAUCUAUGGCCAUGGCCCUCCCGCUCCACAGCUCCCCUCCAAGGCUGGGGCUAGACAUCCAGUUCUUUGUCUCCUGCAUGCCCAGGAGGGAAACCAGGGCAUGCUGGAGCUGGAGCAAAGCCACCAGGAACAAAACAUCUUUUCUUCACCAUGCCCUUCCACUAUGAUGUUCCCUCUUUGGAGCCAGAUGACCAUGGAAUGAACCUUCUGCAACUAAUCGAACCUCUGCCUUCCACGCGCACACCCACAGAUGCGCCUGGACUGCGGUUUCCUCGCGUUUGUUGGUUCAUCGCCGGGUGAUCGUCAGAGCUCUUCCUUCGGGUGAGGCGGCGCGCUCGGCUGGAGCGGCAGUGCUCACGCUGUGCAACAGCUUCCUGGCCUGCUGAUUCGUCCCGCGGCAGCGCCAGUGUGCGCAGACGGCGCCAGAGCAAGUGCUGGGGGAAGGCCGGACGUCAGGCCAUGGACAUCGAACCCAGGUCAUCUCCAGACGAAGCCCGCACACCACGGGUCUUCAGUUCAGCUUUAAGAGCUCCCGCGACUUUCUGUGCGUGGAGGCACAUCGCAGUUGCUGCUGCUCCUGACCUGAGCUGGAUGAAGUUCCGAGUUCACAGCACUGCUGCUCCUCCAGCCCUGGAGGCCCCAUACCAGUCUAGCAAAUUCGUUCACAGUCGUGUCCGUUUGCGUCCACACAGCAUCACGUGCACACAUGCUUUAAGUAACGUUCCCUGAUUUGAACGAACGCUGUUUCUUCCACCACUUAACAGCAUUUAACCACCGUGCUGAUUAAAUCCCUUUAAACUGCA